Molecule: ribosomal RNA, 863 nt
Filed under: uncultured Flavobacteriia bacterium
Lineage: Bacteria; Pseudomonadati; Bacteroidota; Flavobacteriia
Description: bacterial SSU rRNA
Rfam family: Bacterial small subunit ribosomal RNA
Source: RNAcentral
UGGCUCAGGAUGAACGCUAGCGGCAGGCCUAACACAUGCAAGUCGAGGGGUAGAGUUUCUUCGGAGACUUGAGACCGGCGCACGGGUGCGUAACGCGUAUGCAAUCUGCCCUUUACUGGGGAAUAGCCCGGAGAAAUUCGGAUUAAUGCCCCAUAUGCCCGUAGAGUCGCCUGGUUCAGCGGGGAAAGUUCCGACGGUAAAGGAUGAGCAUGCGUCCCAUUAGCUAGUUGGUGAGGUAACGGCUCACCAAGGCGACGAUGGGUAGGGGGCCUGAGAGGGUGAUCCCCCACACUGGUACUGAGACACGGACCAGACUCCUACGGGAGGCAGCAGUGAGGAAUAUUGGGCAAUGGAGGCAACUCUGACCCAGCCAUGCCGCGUGCAGGAAGACGGCCCUCUGGGUUGUAAACUGCUUUUGUUUGGGAAUAAACCCUUCUACGUGUAGGAGGCUGAAGGUACCAUACGAAUAAGGAUCGGCUAACUCCGUGCCAGCAGCCGCGGUAAUACGGAGGAUCCAAGCGUUAUCCGGAUUUAUUGGGUUUAAAGGGUCCGUAGGCGGGUCUUUAAGUCAGUGGUGAAAGCCCACAGCUCAACUGUGGAACUGCCAUUGAUACUGGAGAUCUUGAGUGUAGUAGAAGUAGGCGGAAUAGGGCAUGUAGCGGUGAAAUGCAUAGAUAUGCCCUAGAACACCGAUUGCGAAGGCAGCUUACUAUGUUACAACUGACGCCGAGGGACGAAAGCGUGGGGAGCAAACAGGAUUAGAUACCCUGGUAGUCCACGCUGUAAACGAUGAUUACUCGCUGUUGGCGACAUACAGUCAGCGGCCAAGCGCAACCAUUCAGUAAUCCACCUGGGGAGUACGC